GACUCUCGGCAACGGAUAUCUCAGCUCUCGCAUCGAUGAAGAACGCAGCAAAAUGCAAUACUUGGUGUGAAUUGCAGAAUCCCGUGAAUCAUCAAGUUUUUGAACGUAAGUUGCACCCUACGCCUUUCGGCCAAGGGCAUGCCUGCCUAGGUGUCA
This 156-nucleotide ribosomal RNA is filed under the name Ricinus communis (castor bean). Its description in RNAcentral is "5.8S ribosomal RNA". It matches the Rfam family "5.8S ribosomal RNA". From Rfam's summary of the family: 5.8S ribosomal RNA (5.8S rRNA) is a component of the large subunit of the eukaryotic ribosome. It is transcribed by RNA polymerase I as part of the 45S precursor that also contains 18S and 28S rRNA. Functionally, it is thought that 5.8S rRNA may be involved in ribosome translocation. The record is from Rfam by way of RNAcentral. Lineage: Eukaryota; Viridiplantae; Streptophyta; Magnoliopsida; Malpighiales; Euphorbiaceae.